This 253-nucleotide ribosomal RNA is filed under the name uncultured bacterium. Its description in RNAcentral is "partial 16S ribosomal RNA". It matches the Rfam family "Bacterial small subunit ribosomal RNA", at positions 524 to 776 of the family's 1533-position model. The record is from RNAcentral.
UACGGAGGGUGCAAGCGUUAUCCGGAUUCACUGGGUUUAAAGGGUGCGUAGGUGGGUCUGUAAGUCAGUGGUGAAAUCCCCGAGCUUAACUUGGGAACUGCCGUUGAUACUAUAGAUCUUGAAUAUCGUGGAGGUAAGCGGAAUAUGUCAUGUAGCGGUGAAAUGCUUAGAUAUGACAUAGAACACCAAUUGCGAAGGCAGCUGGCUACACAUAUAUUGACAUUGAGGCACGAAAGCGUGGGGAUCAAACAGG